CCUUGCUAAUUUUUUUUUACUGAUUACGUCCCGACUCCCGACGCCCGUGUCAAAUGACUAGUUCGAAAUGUCGAAAAUUAUUCAAGGUAUCUUGCUCAUAGAAUAAAGAUAAUAAUGAUCUUGGUCAUGUAGUCGCAUGUUCACCGUGAGUCAUUCUCGACUUCUUGUUCCUUGGUGACACCGUUGUCUGUCAGGUAAUUAUCAGAAAUCGAAUACUUACGUCGUCGUACUUACUGGCACUGACAAUGGUAGUCCGACAUGUGAGUCCAGUUUGAAACCAGUGAAGGUGUUGAGGUACUGUCCCGGUUCGACAACAUGAACUUCCGGGAAGACCUUGUGCGUGGCAUAUACGCAUAUGGUUUUGAACGGCCUUCGACUAUCCAGCAGCGUACCAUAAAGCCGAUGGUCACUGGACAGGACGUUAUAACUCAAGCCCAAUCAGGUACUGUCAAGACGGCCACAAUUUCAAAUGUAAUGUUACAAUCUUUUGACAUACAGCUCAGAGAUAUGACCAGUGUCAUGUCUUUUACCAACCCGAGAGCUGGCCGUACAAACUUAGAAGGAUUGGCCGUUCUGUAAGAUUUGGUUGUAAUGAUGUGGCAAUUAAUUUUACUAAGGCCGAUGAAACUAAAAUUGUUUGUGAUAUUGAACAAUUUUACUCCACGAUGGUUGUCCAAUUACCUAUGAAUAUUGGUGAGUUGAUUUGGAGAUGCACAGUUCAGGCUAAUAUUUGAUAUCAUUGUUACAAUUGUAAUAAAUUUUUCAUUUUUUACAUUUGCCUCAUUCUAUCCAUAUCAAAUAACAAAUGGGUGUAAUAAAUAAUUUGGUACAUUUUGUGUUGUGCAUUCAUUGUAAUCUAAACUACCCUCUGACCAUUAAGAUACAAAUUAAUCUCCAUCAUCUUUAUGACAGACACAGUUACAUAAAAUAAUUAUUUACCUUAGUUAAAGAAAAAUAUGCUCUUAAAUGAACACAUUGUGAUCAUUAUUUAAUAUGAUAUUUUAAAUUUUGAGUGGAUGAAUAAAUUGAUUAUACUAUGAGGUGUGUGUAUUUUUUUCAUAUCAUUUUUUUUUGUGUCUGUGUGCACGAUAACUAGUUGAAGUUAUUUUCUCAUUUUGCUGUAAUUCAAACAGUGUAGAUACUUGAAAUUUUUAUAAUCUCCUAUGUUUGAUAUUUUAUGGACAUUUU
Molecule: RNA transcript, 1188 nt
Organism: Myzus persicae (green peach aphid)
Lineage: Eukaryota; Metazoa; Arthropoda; Insecta; Hemiptera; Aphididae
Gene name: eukaryotic initiation factor 4A-III-like
Exons: 4
Source: RefSeq, a predicted model, not a curated record